Molecule: ribosomal RNA, 402 nt
Filed under: uncultured prokaryote
Description: bacterial SSU rRNA
Rfam family: Bacterial small subunit ribosomal RNA
Source: RNAcentral
UGGGGAAUAUUGGACAAUGGGCGCAAGCCUGAUCCAGCCAUGCCGCGUGAGUGACGAAGGUCUUCGGAUUGUAAAGCUCUUUUGGCGGGGACGAUAAUGACGGUACCCGCAGAAUAAGCCCCGGCUAACUUCGUGCCAGCAGCCGCGGUAAUACGAAGGGGGCUAGCGUUGUUCGGAAUUACUGGGCGUAAAGCGCACGUAGGCGGAUUUGUGAGUCAGGGGGGAAAUCCCGGGGCUCAACCUCGGAACUGCCUUUGAUACGGCAAGUCUCGAGUCCGGAAGAGGUGAGUGGAAUUCCUAGUGUAGAGGUGAAAUUCGUAGAUAUUAGGAAGAACACCAGUGGCGAAGGCGGCUCACUGGUCCGGUACUGACGCUGAGGUGCGAAAGCGUGGGGAGCAAACA